This 947-nucleotide long non-coding RNA is filed under the name Vitis vinifera (wine grape). RNAcentral describes it as "long non-coding RNA (VVIN_LNC007838)". Lineage: Eukaryota; Viridiplantae; Streptophyta; Magnoliopsida; Vitales; Vitaceae. The record is from RNAcentral.
AGUGCCCAAAGGACGCAUUGCCAAUCAGCGAAUUACCAAAUGUAAGUGAACUAACUGAUCAUGAUGUAUGGAAUAGGAAUUCUAACUUAGCUUCGCUUCAAAUAAGCCCAAUCCUUGCAUUGCAUUUGAUUCUGGAAAGACCCAAACAGAUAGGCGAUCAGCUCAUGAUUCAAAGAGAAUCCCCACGAAAGGCAUAGUUGCAAAGAACAAGACACUAGAAAAGUCUUGCCAAAAACUUGUUAUGCAUUUUAUGCUAAAAUGAAAUUAGCAAAUUCCUAAUUCUUGGAUUUAGAAAGUUGGUGUUUGGACAUUGAUCCAAGAGAUUUUCCGCUGAAAAUUCAUGUGUAGGUCCUUGAAAAGUUCACCUGUUACAACGAAUAUUCUAACGGAACAUGCAAAGGAGUGGGGAAAUUCCUUCCUGAAGACACUUACGACAAGGCUUGGGCUUAUAGUGAUUCCAUCCAGGAUUUGCUGAACAUAUUUCCUGAUUUGCAGAGCCUGACCACCUGCUCCUUUGUGAGGAACGCAUUCUCGGAAGUUGUUGCCCAUCAGUGCAGUCCAUUCAAGGUUUCCAUUCGAUUGCUAUGGGCCUCAAUGCUCUCUCUUUCCAUUGCCAUGUUGCUUUUAGUAUUAACUUGGGUAGUAAAAGCUUUUCAGGAGAGGGGAAGAUGUUUCUCCAUGUGUUCCAUCAUCCCCAACCCUACACAGGAAAAUCGUAGGACACCCAGAUCAGAGGAAAUUUACACAUAGAAAAAUAUAGAGUUAUAUAAAAUGUUUGUACAAGAAACUCAAAAGACCACACCUGUAAAUGUACAUAAGAGAAAUGUAAACCAUUUUACCUUUUUUAUUCUUGGGCUUCAAUUACCAUAAUGACAAAGACAGUGAGCAGAAGAUGAGCAUCAUUGUGAAGUACUGAAGUACACCAGUUCACCCAAGUUUAGUUAAAA